This is a non-coding RNA of Caerostris darwini, 71 nucleotides long. Lineage: Eukaryota; Metazoa; Arthropoda; Arachnida; Araneae; Araneidae. The record is from the annotation of a GenBank genome assembly.
GCAUCGGUGGUUCAGUGGCGGAAUGCUUGCCUGACGCGCGAGCGGCUUGGGUUCGAUUCCCGGCCGAUGCA